AGGGCGCACCGCACCACACGAGCGAAAUCCACAGCGAGCGAGCGAGGCCACAGCGAUCGAGCCAGAGGAAAAAAGGCAUCGAACCCUAGCCCCAAUCCACAGCCCCGCGCCUCUCGCUCCUCCCUCCCUCGUCCGCCGCCACUCCCUCCCACCUCCUCCUCCUGCGCCCUAGGAGCCCCGCCGGCGACUGCUACUCCUCCACCGCCUCGCCUCUUCCUCCUCCUCGCCUUCCCAUCGCUCGUCUUCAGGCCGCAGCGGUGGUUCCCGAUCUGAGCCGUCUUCAGGUGCGUGGAGCGACGGAGGUAGGCUCCCUCCUCCACGGUCGCGCGGCGGGAGAGGAGUCAGCCCCGGUGCUCUGCCUCUCCAUCCGUCUCCGCAAGCUAUCGUCCGAUGCCGUCGUUGCCCGCCAUCAUCUUCAUCUUGCUCGCUGCCUGCUUGCUAGAGAGCCAUGUCUUUCCUCGCUGUAGGUUCUGGCGUUCUGCCAUGGCUUUUCUUGUCCCGUCCCACUCGCCUCCCCCUCCUCGUCACCCUCCUCUCUCUCUCUCUCUUUCUCGCUCACUGCCAAGAAGCCGCCGGAGGAGGAACUCGACCUGGACGACCGCCGCUGGACGAAGAGCCCCGAAAAAAUCCCCCAACCACCCCUGCGCCACCGCCUCUUCACCUUCGACCACGGGUUGCAACGUACGGUCAGAGGACCAAGUUGGAGCAUACUAGGCAAAUGGACCUUGCCGUGAGUCGUGGUGCAACAGUGACCUCGAUGGGCAGGGCAAUGGUCAGAUACGAGUCAGCACCGAAGAUGACUGUAAGCACUCAAAAAAGUUUACCACGCUAGAGCUAUGUCAGGUUGUAUGAGGGCAGUUAAUGAAUAUACUUGUGACACUUAAACUCUCAGGCAAGCUUGCUCUCAGCAAUGCCAACAAACAUGGUUUAUGAUGAUAUUGGUGGUCUGAAGCUUUAGAUCGUCGGGGCUGCUCUCAUUUGUUCAAUUUGCCAGUGAUCCUUCCAUUCUACUGCUGCUCAUUAUUAUCACAUGAAGGAGGUGUUCUUCCGUUACAAUACUCCUGACGUGUUCCAUGAAAUGUCUAUGAGCUGGAACAUGUAUAUCCUUUCAAGUUCACUGAUGCGGUUACCACUACAACACACGUCCCUCCAAGGACCAAGGGUGGGCAUGAUCUUCUACAAGGUUGUUGUCUGUGACUAUUAGUACGGGAUCAACUUUGCGGUGUCCCCAUCGCUUCAAGUCAAGCUAAUAGAGCUAAAUGGGUAUCCAAUUUUAGAAAGCACACUUAAGAAACAUGAACACGUGUCUUUAGAUCCUAUGGAGCAUUCCUAAUAAUGACCAUCUAUUUAACUAUCUUGGAUCAUUACCAUUACAAAAUGCAGCAUGGCAUUCAUAAUGUUCAGUUAUUCAUAAAUGUGGCAUUUAAUUAUUCUCCUGGCAUGAUAUUUAAGCAUGUUGCAUAUACCAAUCUGUUGAUAAUUCAAUUAUUGAUUCUGAUGUACAAACAUGCAAAACCAUUGCCUGUUUGGAUGAUGCACAUGAGUAUGUUUUUGUUAGUUUUCGGUGAUGUACGUCGUGAAGCGGGACGGGCGGACGGAGACGGUGCACUUUGACAAGAUCACGGUGCGGCUCAAGAAGCUCAGCAAUGGGCUCAGCCAGGAGCACCGCGACCCCGUGCUCGGUCUGCGUCAGGGUAUACAUGGGCGCCACCACCAGCCAGCUCGCCGCCGAGACCGCCGCCGUGCUCACCGCCUCCCAGCCUGACUAUGCCUCCCUGAAAGAUUAGCGAGACUGGCUAAAUUCUGAACAUGUUCCAUGUGAGAGAAAUAGCAUGUUGAUUUCAUCUUGAAAUAAUCAUAGCUGAGGGACGAGCUUCGUAACUAAGGGUCAUGUGUAGAGCUGAAGGAAGAAGUUGCGAGGCUUGGAACUCUCCUUGUGAAGGGCUCAGGGACAGCAGUGAGGACAAUGCCUCUUUAGUUGUAAUUGUGAUACUCCUGAUCUGCAAGUAAACACUCCUGUGAUACUAAAUGUUGGUUGUUAGUACAGAGGUGAUGCCAUUACUUGGUUCUUUGGUACUCCCUCUGUCCGGAAAAGCUUGUCCCUCGAAUGGAUGUAUCUAGCACCAAGUUAGUGCUAGAUACAUCCAUUUGAGAAACAAGCUUGGGACAAGCUUUUUCGGACGGAGGGAGUAUUGAUUUCAUGAUUUGUGGUUAAUACAUGAUGUAAUACAAUCUACACUGCAUUAUAUUUCCAGUUACAUAUCUUA
Triticum dicoccoides is the source of this 2267-nucleotide long non-coding RNA. RefSeq lists it as uncharacterized. NCBI's taxonomy places the organism in Eukaryota, Viridiplantae, Streptophyta, Magnoliopsida, Poales, Poaceae. The transcript is spliced from 6 exons. The record is from RefSeq and is a predicted model, not a curated record.